RNAcentral lists this ribosomal RNA (207 nucleotides) under uncultured bacterium. RNAcentral describes it as "partial 16S ribosomal RNA". It matches the Rfam family "Bacterial small subunit ribosomal RNA", at positions 568 to 774 of the family's 1533-position model. The record is from RNAcentral.
CGUGUAGGCGGUUGAAAAAGUCAGGUGUGAAAUUCUUCGGCUCAACCGAGGGACUGCGCCUGAAACUUUUCGACUGGAGUUCGGGAGGGGCAACUGGAAUUCCUGGUGUAACGGUGAAAUGUGUAGAUAUCAGGAGGAACACCGGUGGCGAAGGCGGGUUGCUGGACCGAAACUGACGCUGAGACGCGAAAGCGUGGGUAGCAAACA